CAGCCCUUGACAUGGGAAGUAUGGGGUCCGGAGACGGACUCCUUCAGUUCGGCUGGCUUCCACACAGGUGCUGCAUGGCUGUCGUCAGCUCGUGUCGUGAGAUGUUGGGUUAAGUCCCGCAACGAGCGCAACCCUCAUCUUCAGUUGCCAUCGGGUCAAGCUGGGCACUCUGAAGAAACCGCCGGUGACAAGCCGGAGGAAGGCGGGGAUGACGUCAAGUCCUCAUGGCCCUUAUGGGCUGGGCUACACACGUGCUACAAUGGCGGUGACAAUGGGACGCGAUGGGGCGACCCGGAGCCAAUCUCAAAAAGCCGUCUCAGUUCAGAUUGCACUCUACAACUCGAGUGCAUGAAGGUGGAAUCGCUAGUAAUCGUGGAUCAGCAUGCCACGGUGAAUA
RNAcentral lists this ribosomal RNA (397 nucleotides) under uncultured bacterium. RNAcentral's name for it is "bacterial SSU rRNA". It matches the Rfam family "Bacterial small subunit ribosomal RNA", at positions 975 to 1368 of the family's 1533-position model. The record is from RNAcentral.